Molecule: long non-coding RNA, 482 nt
Filed under: Gallus gallus (chicken)
Lineage: Eukaryota; Metazoa; Chordata; Aves; Galliformes; Phasianidae
Source: RNAcentral
CCACACCUGACGUACCUCUGGGCCUUCGAGACAAGUCACUGUCAUGAGGAUGUGGUUAAAGUUUGUGCAGCUCCACCUCAGCACAUACAUUCCUGCUUCAUUCCCUUCCUGUCGCAGUUUGUUGAUGGCAUAUUCAGUGCAAAUGGGUCCAUGGCAACCAUUCUUUAUGUUGUGUUCAAUCAGUGGGGGAGCCACAUCUGUGCAGAGAUAAUGGUGGGCAUCUGCUGUAAGUCUGAAGUAUCCAUCUAUCAAUGAUGCAAAUGACAGAGCUUCAUCAUGUGAGGACAGUUUUAAUUCCAUCUUUUUGUUAUCCUGCUUGUUAAUGCUAACUGUAGACUCCUUGAUGACAAUGUGAGUGAUUUCAGGAAAAUAGGAAAAAUUGUUCCACAAAUCUCGGGUUUUGUAUCUAUCUUCAUCCUUUUUGAUUUUGCCAUCAGACUUUUUCUUCUUCUCUGUCUGCACAGAACUUGGCUUGAGCCUCC